Molecule: small nuclear RNA, 314 nt
Filed under: Octodon degus (degu)
Lineage: Eukaryota; Metazoa; Chordata; Mammalia; Rodentia; Octodontidae
Description: 7SK RNA (ENSODEG00000022841.1)
Rfam family: 7SK RNA
About the family: 7SK was discovered as an abundant small nuclear RNA in the mid-70s but a possible function has only recently been suggested. Two independent studies have found that 7SK RNA binds the CDK9/cyclin T complex (known as elongation factor P-TEFb). P-TEFb activates transcription by phosphorylating the C-terminal domain of RNA polymerase II.
Source: Rfam by way of RNAcentral
GGAUGUGAGGGCGAUCUGGCUGCAACAUCUGUCACCCCAUUGAUCGCCAGGGUUGAUUCGGCUGAUCUGGCUGGCUAGGCAGGUGUCCCCUUCCUCCCUCAAUGCUCCAUGUGCAUCCCUCCUGAAGCUGCAUGCUUGGUCGAAGAGGAUGACCACCCCCGAUAGAGGAGGACCAUUCCUCGGUCAAGGGUAUACAAGUAGCUGCACUCCCCUGCUAGAACCUCCAAUCAAGCUCUCAAAAGAGGAAUACCUAAUUCAGACUUGCAGGUAGGAAUAUUAACAAAGAAAACUCUCUGACUCCUAUUCUGAAAUUG